Molecule: long non-coding RNA, 516 nt
Filed under: Salmo salar (Atlantic salmon)
Lineage: Eukaryota; Metazoa; Chordata; Actinopteri; Salmoniformes; Salmonidae
Description: lncRNA (ENSSSAG00000120170.1)
Source: RNAcentral
CUCAUGUAAUGGACGCUCGCACCGGGGACAACUUGGUAGCACACAUCAAAGUGGGAGAGACAUAUCACAUCAGAAAAGAGCCCUGCGCACGUCGGAGCAUUUGGAGGCAGCCCUAGGACGCGCUACCAACAGCAGGCUAAUGGAACAUGAAGGAUGGACUUUUUCGACCGAAAAUACAUCCGUUGUGGACCUGGGAUUCCUGGAAGUGCUUUCUGAUGAAGACAACUCAAGUAUGUAAAAGCUGGAAGUGGAAGCAUAAGUAUACAUACACGGCUGGACAAGAUGGAAACGGACACAGUGACAGUGCGCACCGAGGAAGAGAGGUCACGGACAGACAGAGCUGAAACUUCACUGCUUGACAUGUAUUCUGGUUGAGAAUAAAACGACUGAACAAAUGAACAAGGAAACAGCACAGCAAGUAAGUGAAAGAAAUAGGUUUUGAUUAUGUUUUACUGGUAAUGGGGACAUACGUAAAUGCCAACAAAAUUAAUUUUUGGUCAGUGUGGUGUGUCUGUG